GAACGCUGGCGGCGUGGAUAAGACAUGCAAGUCGAACGAGAGAAUUGCUAGCUUGCUAAUAAUUCUCUAGUGGCGCACGGGUGAGUAACACGUGAGUAACCUGCCCCCGAGAGCGGGAUAGCCCUGGGAAACUGGGAUUAAUACCGCAUAGUAUCGAAAGAUUAAAGCAGCAAUGCGCUUGGGGAUGGGCUCGCGGCCUAUUAGUUAGUUGGUGAGGUAACGGCUCACCAAGGCGAUGACGGGUAGCCGGUCUGAGAGGAUGUCCGGCCACACUGGAACUGAGACACGGUCCAGACACCUACGGGUGGCAGCAGUCGAGAAUCAUUCACAACGGGGGAAACCCUGAUGGUGCGACGCCGCGUGGGGGAAUGAAGGUCUUCGGAUUGUAAACCCCUGUCAUGUGGGAGCAAAUUAAAAAGAUAGUACCACAAGAGGAAGAGACGGCUAACUCUGUGCCAGCAGCCGCGGUAAUACAGAGGUCUCAAGCGUUGUUCGGAAUCACUGGGCGUAAAGCGUGCGUAGGCUGUUUCGUAAGUCGUGUGUGAAAGGCGCGGGCUCAACCCGCGGACGGCACAUGAUACUGCGAGACUAGAGUAAUGGAGGGGGAACCGGAAUUCUCGGUGUAGCAGUGAAAUGCGUAGAUAUCGAGAGGAACACUCGUGGCGAAGGCGGGUUCCUGGACAUUAACUGACGCUGAGGCACGAAGGCCAGGGGAGCGAAAGGGAUUAGAUACCCCUGUAGUCCUGGCAGUAAACGGUGCACGCUUGGUGUGCGGGGAAUCGACCCCCUGCGUGCCGGAGCUAACGCGUUAAGCGUGCCGCCUGGGGAGUACGGUCGCAAGAUUAAAACUCAAAGAAAUUGACGGGGACCCGCACAAGCGGUGGAGUAUGUGGCUUAAUUCGAUGCAACGCGAAGAACCUUACCUGGGCUUGACAUGUAAUGAACAACAUGUGAAAGCAUGCGACUCUUCGGAGGCGUUACACAGGUGCUGCAUGGCCGUCGUCAGCUCGUGUCGUGAGAUGUUUGGUUAAGUCCAGCAACGAGCGCAACCCCUGUUGCCAGUUACCAGCACGUGAAGGUGGGGACUCUGGCGAGACUGCCCAGAUCAACUGGGAGGAAGGUGGGGACGACGUCAGGUCAGUAUGGCCCUUAUGCCCAGGGCUGCACACGUACUACAAUGCCCAGUACAGAGGGGGCCGAAGCCGCGAGGCGGAGGAAAUCCUGAAAACUGGGCCCAGUUCGGACUGUAGGCUGCAACCCGCCUACACGAAGCCGGAAUCGCUAGUAAUGGCGCAUCAGCUACGGCGCCGUGAAUACGUUCCCGGGUCUUGUACACACCGCCCGUCACAUCAUGGAAGCCGGUCGCACCCGAAGUAUCUGAAGCCAACCGCAAGGAGGCAGGGUCCUAAGGUGAGACUGGUAACUGGG
RNAcentral lists this ribosomal RNA (1428 nucleotides) under uncultured organism. Its description in RNAcentral is "SSU rRNA". It matches the Rfam family "Bacterial small subunit ribosomal RNA". The record is from RNAcentral.